Molecule: ribosomal RNA, 252 nt
Filed under: uncultured bacterium
Lineage: Bacteria
Description: partial 16S ribosomal RNA
Rfam family: Bacterial small subunit ribosomal RNA
Source: RNAcentral
UACGGAGGAUCUGAGCGUUAUCCGGAUUUAUUGGGUUUAAAGGGAGCGUAGGUGGAUUGUUAAGUCAGUUGUGAAAGUUUGCGGCUCAACCGUAAAAUUGCAGUUGAGACUGGCAGUCUUAGUACAGUAGAGGUGGGCGGAAUUCGUGGUGUAGCGGUGAAAUGCUUAGAUAUCACGAAGAACUCCGAUUGCGAAGGCAGCUCACUGGACUGCAACUGACACUGAGGCUCGAAAGUGUGGGUAUCAAACAGG